Molecule: ribosomal RNA, 253 nt
Filed under: uncultured bacterium
Lineage: Bacteria
Also listed under: 1 other name
Description: partial 16S ribosomal RNA
Rfam family: Bacterial small subunit ribosomal RNA
Source: RNAcentral
UACGGAGGGUGCAAGCGUUAUCCGGAUUCACUGGGUUUAAAGGGUGUGUAGGCGGGUAGUUAAGUCAGUGGUGAAAUCUCCGGGCUCAACCCGGAAACUGCCAUUGAUACUAUCUAUCUUGAAUUUUGUUGAGGUAGGCGGAAUAUGUCAUGUAGCGGUGAAAUGCAUAGAUAUGACAUAGAACACCAAUUGCGAAGGCAGCUUACUAAGCAAAUAUUGACGCUGAGGCACGAAAGCGUGGGGAUCAAACAGG